CGCUGGCGGCAUGCCUUACACAUGCAAGUCGAACGGCAGCACGGGAGCAAUCCUGGUGGCGAGUGGCGAACGGGUGAGUAAUAUAUCGGAACGUGCCCAGUAGUGGGGGAUAGCCCGGCGAAAGCCGGAUUAAUACCGCAUACGACCUGUGGGUGAAAGCGGGGGAUCGCAAGACCUCGCGCUAUUGGAGCGGCCGAUAUCAGAUUAGCUUGUUGGUGGGGUAAAAGCCCACCAAGGCGACGAUCUGUAGCUGGUCUGAGAGGACGACCAGCCACACUGGGACUGAGACACGGCCCAGACUCCUACGGGAGGCAGCAGUGGGGAAUUUUGGACAAUGGGCGCAAGCCUGAUCCAGCCAUGCCGCGUGUGGGAAGAAGGCCUUCGGGUUGUAAACCACUUUUGUCAGGGAAGAAACGGUCUGAUCUAAUACAUUGGACUAAUGACGGUACCUGAAGAAUAAGCACCGGCUAACUACGUGCCAGCAGCCGCGGUAAUACGUAGGGUGCAAGCGUUAUCGGAAUACUGGGCGUAA
This 532-nucleotide ribosomal RNA is filed under the name uncultured bacterium. Its description in RNAcentral is "bacterial SSU rRNA". It matches the Rfam family "Bacterial small subunit ribosomal RNA", at positions 34 to 563 of the family's 1533-position model. The record is from RNAcentral.